RNAcentral lists this unclassified non-coding RNA (22 nucleotides) under Mus musculus (house mouse). RNAcentral's name for it is "oocyte_clustered_small_RNA11921". The record is from RNAcentral. Lineage: Eukaryota; Metazoa; Chordata; Mammalia; Rodentia; Muridae.
UCUGAGCCGCUGUCCCUGCAGU